RNAcentral lists this ribosomal RNA (350 nucleotides) under uncultured organism. RNAcentral's name for it is "bacterial LSU rRNA". It matches the Rfam family "Bacterial large subunit ribosomal RNA", at positions 2099 to 2465 of the family's 2925-position model. The record is from RNAcentral.
CUUUACUAUAGUUUAGCAUUGAAUCUGGUUAAUUAAUGUGUAGGAUAGGUGGGAGACUUUGAAGCGGCCUCGCUAGGGGCUGUGGAGUCGUCCUUGAAAUACCACCCUUUGAUUCAUUGGAUUCUAACCUACGGGACAGUGCUUGAUGGGUAGUUUGACUGGGGUGGUCGCCUCCAAAAAAGUAUCGGAGGCUUCUAAAGGUACCCUCUGCACGGUUGGUAAUCGUGCUUCGAGUAUAAUGGCAUAAGGGUGCUUGACUGCGAGACAUACAAGUCGAGCAGGGACGAAAGUCGAGCAUAGUGAUCCGGUGGUUCCGAAUGGAAGGGCCAUCGCUCAAAGGAUAAAAGGUA